CCUUCCCCUCUCCUCCCUUUAAAACCGCAGGAAGCAUCAGCUCUGUCAGAACAUGCUGAUUUGAAGGGGAAAUUCCCUCACCUGCUGGGAUUAAAUUUUAAGAAACAGUUUAAUUUUCAAGGAAUAACAUCCACAGUCCAGAUUCUGCAACAUCCUACUAAAGAAGAAGAGGACUGGAAAAUGAAAC
Long non-coding RNA from Dermochelys coriacea (leatherback sea turtle), 187 nucleotides. RefSeq lists it as uncharacterized. The transcript has 2 exons. The record is from RefSeq and is a predicted model, not a curated record. Lineage: Eukaryota; Metazoa; Chordata; Testudines; Dermochelyidae.